ACCUGUGGCUGGCUCAGUCGGUAGAGUAUGUGACCCUCGAUCUCGGGGUCAUGAGUUCAAGCCUCAUGUUGGGCA
This 75-nucleotide transfer RNA is filed under the name Ailuropoda melanoleuca (giant panda). RNAcentral describes it as "tRNA-Glu (CTC) (tRNA-Glu-CTC-9-1)". Lineage: Eukaryota; Metazoa; Chordata; Mammalia; Carnivora; Ursidae. The record is from RNAcentral.